This 420-nucleotide ribosomal RNA is filed under the name uncultured bacterium. Its description in RNAcentral is "bacterial SSU rRNA". It matches the Rfam family "Bacterial small subunit ribosomal RNA", at positions 357 to 773 of the family's 1533-position model. The record is from RNAcentral.
GGGAAUUUUGCGCAAUGGGCGAAAGCCUGACGCAGCAACGCCGCGUGGAGGAUGAAGGUCUUUGGAUUGUAAACUCCUGUCAGCAGGGAAAAAGGCUCAUGGCCACACCAUGAGAUUGAUUGUACCUGCAGAGGAAGCCCCGGCUAACUCUGUGCCAGCAGCCGCGGUAAUACAGAGGGGGCAAGCGUUAUUCGGAAUUAUUGGGCGUAAAGGGCGCGUAGGCGGCGUCUCAAGUGGAUGGUGAAAUCCCCGGGCUUAACCUGGGAACUGCCGUCCAAACUGAGAGGCUUGAGUCCGGGAGAGGUAAGUGGAAUUCCCAGUGUAGCGGUGAAAUGCGUAGAUAUUGGGAGGAACACCAGUGGCGAAGGCGGCUUACUGGACCGGAACUGACGCUCAGGUGCGAAAGCGUGGGGAGCAAAC